AGCAUGCCAUGUUUGAGAUUUUUUAUAAAAUCAUAACUUCAAAUUCAAUUUUAGCAAGUAGACUUCCUAAUCCCUUUGGCUAUUGUAAAUAUGAAUAUAGUUAGAUGCUCAUCCCAUUGGAUGAGCACGAAGCAUGGUCGUGUCCUAGAGCAAUAUUUUCCUAAAUGAAAUUUGCAUUCUUUUAGGAGUAGGACAUGUAUGAUUUCUUAAUGGGAUACUUGAGUUUUAAAUUUGUGUAAAUAGGUAUUAAACCAACAAAUUU
Molecule: unclassified non-coding RNA, 262 nt
Filed under: Hevea brasiliensis (rubber tree)
Lineage: Eukaryota; Viridiplantae; Streptophyta; Magnoliopsida; Malpighiales; Euphorbiaceae
Source: RNAcentral